AUGCAAGUCGAACGAUUAAAGCUCUCUUCGGAGAGUGCAUAAAGUGGCGCACGGGUGAGUAACACGUAAGUAAUCUACCCUCGGGUGGGGAAUAACGUCCGGAAACGGACGCUAAUACCGCAUAAUGCAGCGGCACCAUAUGGUGACAGUUGUUAAAGGAGAAAUUCGCCUGGGGAGGAGCUUGCGGCAGAUUAGCUUGUUGGUAGGGUAACGGCCUACCAAGGCGACGAUCUGUAGCCGGUCUAAGAGGACGGUCGGUCACACUGACACUGAAUAACGGGUCAGACUCCUACGGGAGGCAGCAGUCGGGAAUUUUGGGCAAUGGGCGAAAGCCUGACCCAGCAACGCCGCGUGAAGGAUGAAGUAUUUCGGUAUGUAAACUUCGUAAGAAUGGGAAGAAACAAAUGACGGUACCAUUUGUAAGCCCCGGCUAACUACGUGCCAGCAGCCGCGGUAAUACGUAGGGGGCAAGCGUUGUUCGGAUUUACUGGGCGUAAAGGGCGCGUAGGCGGCGGGACAAGUCACUUGUGAAAUCUCUGAGCUUAACUCAGAACGGCCAAGUGAUACUGUCUUGCUAGAGUGCAGAAGGGGCAAUCGGAAUUCUUGGUGUAGCGGUGAAAUGCGUAGAUAUCAAGAGGAACACCUGAGGCGAAGGCGGGUUGCUAGGCUGACACUGACGCUGAGGCGCGAAAGCUAGGGGAGCAAACGGGAUUAGAUACCCCGGUAGUCCUAG
RNAcentral lists this ribosomal RNA (733 nucleotides) under uncultured Acidobacterium sp. RNAcentral's name for it is "bacterial SSU rRNA". It matches the Rfam family "Bacterial small subunit ribosomal RNA", at positions 55 to 799 of the family's 1533-position model. Lineage: Bacteria; Pseudomonadati; Acidobacteriota; Terriglobia; Terriglobales; Acidobacteriaceae. The record is from RNAcentral.